AUGCUCGUCUUCAAAGACCGUAUUGGAGCAUUUUGCAAGUUUAAGGACCAUUGUAAUUUACUCUCAUGGAGGAAGCUAAUCUGUACACAUCGCGUACACAUAAACUACAGUCGUCACGUGUUACCCGGCGUCAACGUGCGUGCGUGCUUGCUCGCACAUGUGUAUAUUCCCAACACCACGCUACGCUACAAAAACAAAACAAAAAAACUCAUCGUGGCAGCAGCGUCCAUCGUUGCCGUCCACUCACGCGGCGGACCCCACAACCACCUAAAAUUACAUACUAGGCCGGCCCCACAUUGA
RNAcentral lists this ribosomal RNA (300 nucleotides) under Triticum aestivum (bread wheat). RNAcentral describes it as "partial small subunit ribosomal RNA". Lineage: Eukaryota; Viridiplantae; Streptophyta; Magnoliopsida; Poales; Poaceae. The record is from RNAcentral.